AGCUCGGCGGAGCUGCUGCGGCGGCGGCUGCGCUCCGGCCGGUCUUGGGGGCGGGGGCGGAGGAGGAGGUGGAGGCGAGGGUUUGGCAAAUGGCCUGGAGCUUGGCGUCGACGGAGGCGAGGAGCGGGGCGGGGGAGGAGGAGGGGAGGUGGCGGUGGCGGAGGUCGGGGAAGUUGAGGCGGGCGAAGUCGCCGCGGAGGCGGAACGCGGCCUUGUCGUAGGCGAGCGCGGCCUCCUCGGCGGUGUCGAAGGUGCCGAGCCAGAGCCGCGUCCGGUUCUUCGGGAGCCGGAUCUCCGCCACCCACUUCCCCCAGUGCCGCUGCCGCACCCCGCGGUACAGCUUCGUCGCCUUCCCCCCCGGCGCCGCCGCCGCCGCGGCAGCCCCGUGCUUCAUGGACUGCGCCCGCGGGCCGAGGUAGCCAGGGCCUCGCGGGGCGAGGAGCCGCUGCUGCUGCGGCUGCUGCUGCUGCCGCUGCCGCUGCUCGAACUGGAUCUGCGCCUGGAUCUGCUCGACCUGGGCCGGGCUCAGCUGGUUGAGCCCCACCGGGCCCACGUACGCCCCCGCUCCGUACUCAAAAAUCGGAUUUUGAUGCGAGAACGGAGACGACGACGACGACGAAGAGGGAGAUGGGGAGUAGAAGAGGGGCGAGCUCACCGGGGGGAAAGGGUAGGGGGAGGAGAGAGGAGGCGGAGGAGAGGGGGUGGAGGAGGUGAGCUCACCAUAGGUGAGAGGAGAAGGAGAGGGAGAAGGUGAAGGUGAGUAAGGAGAGGAGGAGGAGGAGGAGGAGGAGAUAGUGGAAGCGCCAUUAAUAAAAGGCUCGAGCGCUUUCAUGAGCUCCUCACUGAAAGGGUCUG
This 855-nucleotide long non-coding RNA is filed under the name Ananas comosus (pineapple). Its description in RNAcentral is "long non-coding RNA (ACOM_LNC010974)". The record is from RNAcentral. Lineage: Eukaryota; Viridiplantae; Streptophyta; Magnoliopsida; Poales; Bromeliaceae.